UUCUUCAUAUUUGAAGUAAUUCAUAAAAUGAUAAAAUUUUUAAGAGUUUAAAAAUGUUUAACUAUAUAAUUAGCUGAAGGUUCAUUCUGGGAAGCAGUUGCAAAUAAUUUAGAUAAUUUAGGUACAUCAUGCUAAGUGAAAUAAGCCAUUCAAAGAUAAAUACUGAAUGAUUCCACUUACAUAAGGUACAUAAAUUAAUCAAAUUCUUAGAUGAAAGUAGAAAGGUAGUUGCCAAGAGCUGGGGAAAAGGAAAUACUCAAUAAAUAGAAAAGAAAGAUGAAAAAGAUCUAGAGAUCUGCAAUACAAUGUGCAUAUAGUUAAAAAUAGUGCACUGCACACUUAAAUUUUUGUUAUGAGGUUUCUGCCACAAGUUUUAAAAAUAGGGUAGAGUCGCACCCAGGCAGGCUAAGAAGUCUAAGAAGUUUGUAUUUUGUCAUAGGCACAACAGGUACUGACAGUUUUUGCAUAGGUGGUUGACACUGAAAAGCUCAUAAAGACUACAUUGGCAGAUAUGUAAUGGCUAAGUGAGAGGGAAAAAAACAUGGAAAGAUGAAUGAGAAGACAGCUGUGAGGAUUCAAGGCCAGAAAAGGAUUACAGAAAGAGGACAACAGAAGAUGCAGUAUACAGGGAGCAGCAAAAUAGCUUAGCAGCAACUGGUCAUAGAGGGUAAGAGAAGGAAAGAAGAUGAAAUGCACCACAGGUUUCAAGCUGUGGAGACAGGAUGCUGAUGACAGACCGACAGUCAGGAGGAAAGACCACUGCAAAUAGAUCUAUAAAUUUUAUUAUAACAAUAUUUCCUCAAAUGUAUUCCAGGGAAUGUUGGUUUCUCUUAUGCCCCAUUGGAAAAGAAUUCUGUCAGCACAUACUGUAUGUCCUCUCUCAGAAAUUAGAUAUACACGUCAAUACGUUUAAUACUGUUAUGCCUUGCAAUAAAGACAUUGUUUAACCCAGCAAGUCUCACACUUUACUGGCCAAAGGGCAUUUUAAAAAAAAAAAAAAGUACCUCAUGAAACAGAAAGGAAAAGAACUUUUCAAAAUCAUUCUGUGAACAUUACCCUUAAGAGAUCUUCUGGACUGUGUCGUAAUUUGUUGGAUUUUGAUCCAAUUUCCUGCUUGUGUGCCUGCACUCACACUUUAUCAGUCAUUAGUCUUCUUUAGAAAAGGCUUGUUUCAAAAAGAACCAAUACAACUUCAUAGCUUUGAAUUUAUAAAUAUCUAGUCUAGAUUUUCCAUAAGCUAGUCAUCUGUUUCCUCAUUUCAAAAGAUAAAACAGUGUUAGACUAUGUUUUACAAAUGUUAGAUUUGUUUUGCAAAUGCAUGAAAAGCAAUACUUCCUAAUUUGCCUAGAUUUGUGCCCACAAAAUUUGA
RNAcentral lists this long non-coding RNA (1369 nucleotides) under Marmota monax (woodchuck). The record is from RNAcentral. Lineage: Eukaryota; Metazoa; Chordata; Mammalia; Rodentia; Sciuridae.